GAUGAACGCUGGCGGCGUGCCUAAUACAUGCAAGUCGAGCGAACAGACGAGGAGCUUGCUCCUCUGACGUUAGCGGCGGACGGGCGAGUAACACGUGGAUAACCUACCUAUAAGACUGGGAUAACUUUGGGAAACCGGAGCUAAUACCGGAUAAUAUAUUGAACCGCAUGGUUCAAUAGUGAAAGACGGUUUUGCUGUCACUUAUAGAUGGAUCCGCGCCGCAUUAGCUAGUUGGUAAGGUAACGGCUUACCAAGGCAACGAUGCGUAGCCGACCUGAGAGGGUGAUCGGCCACACUGGAACUGAGACACGGUCCAGACUCCUACGGGAGGCAGCAGUAGGGAAUCUUCCGCAAUGGGCGAAAGCCUGACGGAGCAACGCCGCGUGAGUGAUGAAGGUCUUCGGAUCGUAAAACUCUGUUAUUAGGGAAGAACAAAUGUGUAAGUAACUAUGCACGUCUUGACGGUACCUAAUCAGAAAGCCACGGCUAACUACGU
This 496-nucleotide ribosomal RNA is filed under the name uncultured bacterium. Its description in RNAcentral is "partial 16S ribosomal RNA". It matches the Rfam family "Bacterial small subunit ribosomal RNA", at positions 28 to 506 of the family's 1533-position model. The record is from RNAcentral.